Molecule: ribosomal RNA, 119 nt
Filed under: Triticum aestivum (bread wheat)
Lineage: Eukaryota; Viridiplantae; Streptophyta; Magnoliopsida; Poales; Poaceae
Source: RNAcentral
GGAUGCGAUCAUACCAGCACUAAAGCACCGGAUCCCAUCAGAACUCCGAAGUUAAGCGUGCUUAGGCGAGAGUAGUACUAGGAUGGGUGACCUCCUGGGAAGUCCUCAUGUUGCAUUCC